This 322-nucleotide unclassified non-coding RNA is filed under the name Hevea brasiliensis (rubber tree). Lineage: Eukaryota; Viridiplantae; Streptophyta; Magnoliopsida; Malpighiales; Euphorbiaceae. The record is from RNAcentral.
GGAUUUUUUUCUCAUGUAAAGGUGGAUGAACCACAUCAUACAAUUGUAAUAUCUCUCUGUUUAUUCUUCUAAAAAAAAGGAGCUCAGAUAGUAGAGAAGCCCUUUUACACCACUUACAUGAUGCACCAAACUAUAAACGAGGUUACAAUAUCCACAAAAUAAUUUGAUAUUUACACCAUUAAACAUCAACUAGACGCAUCUCUUCUCCCUUAUCAUACAGAAUAAGAGCGUAUUUAGGUCAAUCCCCACGAGGAAUAACACUUUGAAAAAUUCAGGUGUGUAGUCAUUUCUAGAUCCAACCAUCAAACGUGGGGAAGUCAAC